UACGUAGGGUGCGAGCGUUGUCCGGAAUUAUUGGGCGUAAAGGGCUCGUAGGCGGUUUGUCGCGUCGUCUGUGAAAACUCGAGGCUCAACCUCGAGCUUGCAGGCGAUACGGGCAGACUUGAGUACUGCAGGGGAGACUGGAAUUCCUGGUGUAGCGGUGAAAUGCGCAGAUAUCAGGAGGAACACCGGUGGCGAAGGCGAGUCCCUGGACGAUACCUGACACUGAGGCACGAAAGCCAAGGGAGCAAACAGG
This 253-nucleotide ribosomal RNA is filed under the name uncultured bacterium. Its description in RNAcentral is "partial 16S ribosomal RNA". It matches the Rfam family "Bacterial small subunit ribosomal RNA", at positions 524 to 776 of the family's 1533-position model. The record is from RNAcentral.